RNAcentral lists this ribosomal RNA (460 nucleotides) under uncultured bacterium. Its description in RNAcentral is "partial 16S ribosomal RNA". It matches the Rfam family "Bacterial small subunit ribosomal RNA", at positions 338 to 795 of the family's 1533-position model. The record is from RNAcentral.
CCUACGGGCGGCAGCAGUGAGGAAUAUUGGUCAAUGGACGAGAGUCUGAACCAGCCAAGUAGCGUGAAGGAUGACUGUCCAAUGGAUUGUAAACUUCUUUUAUCUGGGAAUAAAACGUUCCACGCGUGGGAUGUUGUAUGUACCAUAUGAAUAAGGAUCGGCUAACUCCGUGCCAGCAGCCGCGGUAAUACGGAGGAUCCGAGCGUUAUCCGGAUUUAUUGGGUUUAAAGGGUGCGUAGGCGGGUUGUUAAGUCAGGUGUGAAAGUUUGGGGCUCAACCGUAAAAUUGCAGUUGAAACUGGCAGUCUUGAGUACAGUAGAGGUGGGCGGAAUGCGUGGUGUAGCGGUGAAAUGCUUAGAUAUCGCGAAGAACUCCGAUUGCGAAGGCAGUGCACUGGAGUGCAACUGACACUGAGGCUCGAAAGUGUGGGGAUCGAACAGGAUUAGAUACCCGGGUAGUC